This is a long non-coding RNA of Salvia splendens (bonfire salvia), 576 nucleotides long. RefSeq lists it as uncharacterized. The record is from RefSeq and is a predicted model, not a curated record. NCBI's taxonomy places the organism in Eukaryota, Viridiplantae, Streptophyta, Magnoliopsida, Lamiales, Lamiaceae. The transcript is spliced from 2 exons.
UCCGACAAAAUUAAUAGCUUCAAUAAAUCUACAAAUGGUUUCCACAAGAAUUGAAAUUAUGGCUGUUUUCUUAUUGAUGGCUCUUCUCAUUUCCUCACAAGCUGCAGACGCUCGACACCUCAAUCGAGUUCAACCUAAAGACGGCAAGAAAAUGAUCACAAGCUAUGCACGUUUCGAGUGCCCAAAUGGAUGUUGUGGUGCUCUCCGUGCACCCGUGCUACCCGACCAGCUCGGCCAAGCCAGACACUGCCGCUGCUGCCGUUAGCCCAACUACUCGAUUCCCAAUCAACCUAUCAUAUUUACAUUUUUUUCAUGUAAAAUCAUUCUCGAAGGAAAAAGGUAUUUGACAAGCUAUUAUACCUUACCAUUUUACACCAUAUUUGCCUUUUUUUUCAUGAAAAAGGGGAAAAUUAUUACUCCACAUUUUAUAUUUUAGAAUGCUUUUGUAUUAUUAGUUUAUUUUUAAAAAUAAUCUGCCUUUCUAUAUAUAUUUUUUAUUUGGAAUGUGUUAUUUUUUUCAAAUGGUGUAUUUCACUUUUUGAGAAGGUAAAUAAAUGAUAUACCGCUUUCAUUUUA